GACGAACGCUGGCGGCGUGCUUAACACAUGCAAGUCGAACGGGUCUGCCUUGUUUUUUGCGGGGUGGGUCAGUGGCGAACGGGCGAGUAACACGUGAGUAACCUGCCCCUCACUUCUGGAUAACCGCUUGAAAGGGUGGCUAAUACGGGGUGUUCUGGCUGUGCCGCAUGGUGUGGCUGGGAAAGAUUCACUUUUGUGGUGUUUUGGUGGGGGAUGGGCUCGCGGCCUAUCAGCUUGUUGGUGGGGUGAUGGCCUGCCAAGGCUUUGACGGGUAGCCGGCCUGAGAGGGUGGGCGGUCACACUGGGACUGAGAUACGGCCCAGACUCCUGCGGGAGGCAGCAGUGGGGGGUAUUGCACAAUGGGCGGAAGCCUGAUGCAGCGACGUCGCGUGAGGGAUGGAGGCCUUCGGGUUGUGAACCUCUUUCGCCGGUGAAGAAGGUCCUGUUCUUUGUGGUGGGGCUGAC
RNAcentral lists this ribosomal RNA (465 nucleotides) under Actinomyces israelii. Its description in RNAcentral is "bacterial SSU rRNA". It matches the Rfam family "Bacterial small subunit ribosomal RNA", at positions 28 to 473 of the family's 1533-position model. Lineage: Bacteria; Bacillati; Actinomycetota; Actinomycetes; Actinomycetales; Actinomycetaceae. The record is from RNAcentral.